GAUUCACCAUAUGAUCCACGGGCAAGGGCGGACGCCAAUGGAAGGCGUCCGAUAAGCCUCCCUCCCCAGCAUCCAGUGGCCCCAGCAUUCUGUGUCUCCAGCAUCCUCUGUCCCCAGCAUCCUCUGUCCCCAGAAUUCAGUCUCCAACAUGGAAUGGACCCAGCAUCUGCUAUCCCAGUAUCUGUUGCCUGCAUUGUCUCCUCCCUGGAUUAACACGGGGAAGUUCUGACCAUUCAAUGAUGUCUAAUUUUUCUUUCCAAACACUGAUUGAGAACCUGGGAGCCCUUGAUACACAGAGGCCAGAAGAUCUGUGUUCCUCCACUGUGACUGUGGAGAAGGAAGAUGGACAGGGAUGGCUCAGCUCUUGCAUAAGUCGCU
RNAcentral lists this long non-coding RNA (378 nucleotides) under Cricetulus griseus (Chinese hamster). Its description in RNAcentral is "lncRNA (ENSCGRG00015038012.1)". Lineage: Eukaryota; Metazoa; Chordata; Mammalia; Rodentia; Cricetidae. The record is from RNAcentral.